Long non-coding RNA from Mugil cephalus (flathead mullet), 2713 nucleotides. RefSeq lists it as uncharacterized. The record is from RefSeq and is a predicted model, not a curated record. The transcript is spliced from 3 exons. NCBI's taxonomy places the organism in Eukaryota, Metazoa, Chordata, Actinopteri, Mugiliformes, Mugilidae.
UGUCUUGGUUCUGGACUGGUUCUAGACCUGUUUGGAUAAGGUAUUGGACUGAGUUUGGACUGGUUGUGUACUGGACUGGUUCUUAACUGGUUCUACAGUGGUUUUGGACCGGUUCUAGACUGGUAUUGGACUUCUCUCUCUAUUGGUUCUAGACUUGUUUUGGGUGUGCUAUGGGACUUGGUUCUCUACUGGACUUGGAUCUUGUAUAGGUCUUGUUUUUGAACUGGUUCUAGACUGGUUUUGGAUGUGGUAUUGGACUUGGUUCUCAGCUGACUUUGGACUCAUUCUUAACUGGUUCUAAACUGGUUCUAGACUGGUACUGGACAUGGUUUUGGACUGGUUCUAGACUUUUUAUAUGUGGUUCUAGACUGGUAUUGUACUUGGUUCUCUACUGAUUCUAGACUAGUUUUGGGUGUGCUGUUGGACUUGGUUCUGAACUGACUUUGUAGUGGUUCUUAACUGGUUUUGACUGUUUUUGGAUGUGGUAUUGGUGUUGUUUUCGGACUGGUUCUGGGCUGGUUUUGGACUUGACUCCCUACUGGUUCUGGAGUGGUUCUAGACAGGUUUUGGACAUGGUAUUGGACUUGGUUCUCUGCUGACUUUGGACUGGUUCUCAACUGGUUCUAGACUGUUAUUAGACUUGGUUCUUAACCGACUGUGGAGUGAUUCUUAAGUUUUUCUGGACUAGUUUUUGACAUGGUAUUAGACUUGGCUCUCUACUGGUUCUGGACUGGUUCUGGUCUCGUCUCUACUGGUCCUGGUGUUGGUCUUGUUUUUUAAAUGGCUUGAGGGACAUAACGUGUAACACAUUCCUCAUGAACGACUGCAGCUGAACAACUUGAAACAAGUGGUGGAUCUUUUCAGGGGAAACUUGACCUUCUGCCGCUAACGUGACCAAAUGAAAGCAGGCGGCUUAGUGAGCUGUGAGGAAGAGACCAAUAAUGAGGCCGAAGAAGAAGAUGGACGGAAGUGGGUCAACCAAUCCGAACACUCCGUCCCUCCUCCCUUGUGAUAAAGUGAGGCCUCAGGUAACAGAAUCACAUUGGUUCCACCCGCAGGUGUUGCGAAAUAUAAUCCUAAACUUCCCACCCGUGAUUAACACUUUAAGACUUGGAUGAAACGUCUCCUGCACGACGCAAACAAGUCCACCUGACUUUAUUUUAACUUUCUUUACUGGAUAAACCAUAACCUGGAUGACUGAAAACAUUUUUUUUAGACUUUUUAACACAUCUGAACGUUGCGGGCUUUGAACGCACCCUUCACCAACUUUGAGGAAACAGCGUCGGAGAAUUGGGAUUAAAACACAAAUAAAACGUUACAGCACGACAAGAAAUGUGCUGGUGAUCUUGCUGGAUCGUCCUCCUCAGCUGCUUCCUCGCUGCCACCUUGUGGUCUCACUGGAUACGACACCAGGAUCCAUCUUCAUGUUUUUGUCCCUUCUUCUUGUUUUCAGUGUUGCAGCUGCAGCCUUAAAUCAACACAAAGAAGCACUUGUCGUAAUGUAGCACUCACUCUUUUCAAUUCUGUUUAAUUUCAUAGAUAAAAACCGACUUUGCACCAACUUUCUGUGACGUCAAGAUAAAGAUAUUCCCGUUUAAACUUGCACAUAGCCCCGGCUCUGUUUUAAUGAUGGCCGACCUCUGGGUUCAGUUGUUUGCCGCAUCAAUAAUCUCAUCAGCUGACCUCCCUCCAUCUCGGCUCCUAAUAUCUGUUGUUUUCUGGAGCCAAACAAUGAGCUGUGAGCUCUCCCUCCAGGUCACUACUGUUCCCUGCCAGCUAAUUACAGCAGGGCCUCUGCAGAGGAGGGUGGUGUAGGGAGGGGGGGGGCGGCGUAUUUCUGACAAAUGUGCCAUCUCUGUAAUUAGCUCCAAAGCAACAUAUGAAACAUUAAACACGGCGGGCGCCGACGACAAUCAAAACAUUUCAUUUGUUGUCAAUUAUUCAUCACUUUGAAGGUUCUGAAGGGGUCGUUAAUAUGGAAAUAAGCCGGCCAUGCUAACAAGGUUGUAGUAUCUGAUUCUUUUUCUACUUUUUUUUAUUUUUAGGCUGAUUUUUUUAGUGGUUUCCUCUCUUAUUCAUGAAGCCUGCUCUUCAAACACGACCAGCCAACAACAAGACGCUUUAAACUCCGCCUGAUGGAACCUCUUUGAUGGCUUCAACUUCAGCUUCUCGUCAAGCUGUCGAAGCAGAGCUGACGAGAGUUGGAGAGACCGGUUCCCUGAAGUUCCCGUCUGCAGCUUUUCACGGUUUGGCUCCUUCUACCGUUAAUUAACAGGAUGAAAAGUCACCACUACCUUUUACAGCUGUCACAUCAGAACGAUGUCGACUUUAAAAAGAAAAAGAAGUAGAAGCCCUGUGGCUAUUUAAGGUAAUUAAUUCUGCUUCCUGUUACCUGUCGCGUAACCGUACACAUGAUGGAGUCACAACUAAUUCCAUAAAGGAGAUUUUAAGAAGUUACAACCAAAUAUGGAACCUCGUUUUUAAGUGCAUUUAAUGGAUUUUUUAUUUUUUGCAGUGUAUAACUUUGUGUAUCUCCUGAUUGUCAUAUUUUUUUUAUUAACCUUAUAUUUUUAUUCCUUACUGUUAUUUUAUUUAUUUUUUUAAAAACAACGUAUCUGCUUUUUGUUCCAAGAAUCAGUAUUUUUUACAGUGCAGUUUUUUUGUAGCAUGUCCUGUUUGACUUUUUUUUUUUGCUAUUUCGGCCUCUUGCAUG